This 65-nucleotide transfer RNA is filed under the name Dipodomys ordii (Ord's kangaroo rat). It matches the Rfam family "tRNA". From Rfam's summary of the family: Transfer RNA (tRNA) molecules are approximately 80 nucleotides in length. Their secondary structure includes four short double-helical elements and three loops (D, anti-codon, and T loops). The record is from Rfam by way of RNAcentral. Lineage: Eukaryota; Metazoa; Chordata; Mammalia; Rodentia; Heteromyidae.
GGUGGCUCAGGGGUAGAGCACUUGCCUUGCAUGCAGGAGGCCCUGGGUUCGAUUCCUCAGCACCA